This 1320-nucleotide long non-coding RNA is filed under the name Homo sapiens (human). RNAcentral's name for it is "HSALNT0250584". The record is from RNAcentral. Lineage: Eukaryota; Metazoa; Chordata; Mammalia; Primates; Hominidae.
GCAGGUUCACCCUCAGUCUGUGUGGGCACUGUCUAAUCAGCUGCCAGUGCAGCUAGAAUAAAGCAGGCAGAAGAAGUUGGAAAGAGCAGACUUGCUGAGUCUUCUGGCCUUCAUCUUUCUCCUGUGCAGGAUGCUUCCUGCCCUCAAACUUCAGACUCCAAGUUCUCCAGCUUUUGGUUUCUUGGACUUACACCAGUGAUUUGCCAGGGACUCUCGGGCCUACUACCACAGACUGAAGGCUGCACUGUUGGCUUCCCUACUUUUGAAGUUUGGGGGCUGGCUUCCUAGUUCCUCAGCUUGUGGAUGACCUACUGUGGGACUUCACCUCGUGAUAGGCUCACUGCUGGUAUUAGAAAGUUCUCAAGGCUACCUUAUCCUUCUUGGUUCCUCUCUCGUCUCCUUCUCCCCAGCUCAACCAGUUUUCUAGAGGCUCCAUUGAGACACAGUUGCACUGCCUGCCACUGUGGACCCCAGCCUUCUGCCAAGUGAGGUACUCACAAUGGCUCCUUGUGCCUUGCUGCUGAGGGCUUCUUGAGUCCAUGCUAACGUGUUCCUGAAGAGGAGUUGAUGCUGCACAGUGAAUUGAGGGCCAAAUCAGCAAUACAACCUGGGUCGCCUGGAUUUCAGCGCAUGGCCUUUCCAAGAUAACAUGCUACUCUCUCGUCCACAGAUUUUGAAGAAAAAAAAAGAUCACCUAAAGAGAAAAUAGAGAAAAACUGUAAGUAUUAAUGUACUAUUAUAAGUCUCUAUUACAAAGACAGGUUUAUAGGAAAUAAAAAAGCACAUAAAGCAUGACACAGGCUCAUUACUUAAAAUAAAUUUUUAUGGCAGAAUUGGCCAGACAGACUUUUAUACUAUCAGAUAAUUAAGUAGUGAUAUUAGAGUUUUUUAAACAACUUUUUAAAAUUAUGAGAAUAUUCAAAUAUUAACAAAAAUAGAAACAACAAUAUAAUGAAACCUACUGUACCCAACACCCAGUUGUAACAAUUAUCAACAGCCUGCUGUACUAUAGUGUGUUUGGAUGUCUUUUGGGGAUGCCAAAAAUAAAAGCAUUUUUUUUUCUUAUAAAAGAUGGUAAAAAAAAAGGGUCAUAUGUGUUUAAAAUCUUCUCAAAAUAUAUACUCAUAUUUUCAAAAUACCUGGAUCUACAAUUCAAGAAGAGGUUAAUUUUAUUAGAUAGUUACUAUUAUUACUCACACUUUCAAUGAAUAAAGUGAGCAUCAGGGAUUUUUGGACACUUGGUCAAGGUUAUACAAAUAAUAAUUGAAAGAGUGGAGAUAUGAACUCAUGUUUUCUGACUGUGCUCUAAAUUACCCCGGA